CAGUAGCCACGGUAAUACAGAGGGUGCGAGCGUUAAUCGGAUUUACUGGGCGUAAAGCGUGCGUAGGCGGCUUUUUAAGUCGGAUGUGAAAUCCCUGAGCUUAACUUAGGAAUUGCAUUCGAUACUGGGAAGCUAGAGUAUGGGAGAGGAUGGUAGAAUUCCAGGUGUAGCGGUGAAAUGCGUAGAGAUCUGGAGGAAUACCGAUGGCGAAGGCAGCCAUCUGGCCUAAUACUGACGCUGAGGUACGAAAGCAUGGGGAGCAAACAGGAUUAGAGACCCCUGUAGUCCCUGUCUCUUAUAA
This 301-nucleotide ribosomal RNA is filed under the name uncultured bacterium. Its description in RNAcentral is "partial 16S ribosomal RNA". It matches the Rfam family "Bacterial small subunit ribosomal RNA", at positions 509 to 809 of the family's 1533-position model. The record is from RNAcentral.